GCCUUAGUGGCUUAGUGCUAAAAGCAUCGGUUUUGUAAGCCGAAGAUAGAGGGUUAAAUUCCCUCCUAAUGCC
Molecule: transfer RNA, 73 nt
Filed under: Acheilognathus majusculus
Lineage: Eukaryota; Metazoa; Chordata; Actinopteri; Cypriniformes; Acheilognathidae
Description: tRNA-Thr
Rfam family: tRNA
About the family: Transfer RNA (tRNA) molecules are approximately 80 nucleotides in length. Their secondary structure includes four short double-helical elements and three loops (D, anti-codon, and T loops). Further hydrogen bonds mediate the characteristic L-shaped molecular structure. tRNAs have two regions of fundamental functional importance: the anti-codon, which is responsible for specific mRNA codon recognition, and the 3' end, to which the tRNAs corresponding amino acid is attached (by aminoacyl-tRNA synthetases). tRNAs cope with the degeneracy of the genetic code in two manners: having more than one tRNA (with a specific anti-codon) for a particular amino acid; and 'wobble' base-pairing, i.e. permitting non-standard base-pairing at the 3rd anti-codon position.
Source: RNAcentral